UAGGGAAUCUUCGGCAAUGGACGGAAGUCUGACCGAGCAACGCCGCGUGAGUGAAGAAGGUUUUCGGAUCGUAAAGCUCUGUUGUUAGAGAAGAACGUUGGUAGGAGUGGAAAAUCUAUCAAGUGACGGUAACUAACCAGAAAGGGACGGCUAACUACGUGCCAGCAGCCGCGGUAAUACGUAGGCCCCGAGCGUUGUCCGGAUUUAUUGGGUGUAAAUCGAGCGCAGGCGGUUCUUUAAGUCUGAAGUUAAAGGCAGUGGCUUAACCAUUGUACGCUUUGGAAACUGGAGGACUUGAGUGCAGAAGGGGCGAGUGGAAUUCCAUGUGUAGCGGUGAAAUGCGUAGAUAUAUGGAGGAACACCGGUGGCGAAAGCGGCUCUCUGGUCUGAAACUGAAGCUGAGGCUCGAAAGCGUGGGGAGCAAACAGG
This 429-nucleotide ribosomal RNA is filed under the name Bacillota bacterium. RNAcentral's name for it is "Firmicutes bacterium partial 16S ribosomal RNA". It matches the Rfam family "Bacterial small subunit ribosomal RNA", at positions 355 to 776 of the family's 1533-position model. Lineage: Bacteria; Bacillati; Bacillota. The record is from RNAcentral.